UGGGGAAUAUUGCGCAAUGGGGGAAACCCUGACGCAGCGACGCCGCGUGCGGGAUGAAGGCCUUCGGGUUGUAAACCGCUUUUGAUUGGGAGCAAGCUUUCGGGUGAGUGUACCUUUCGAAUAAGCGCCGGCUAACUACGUGCCAGCAGCCGCGGUAAUACGUAGGGCGCAAGCGUUGUCCGGAUUUAUUGGGCGUAAAGCGAGCGCAGGCGGUCAAUUAAGUCUGAUGUGAAAGCCCCCGGCUCAACCGGGGAGGGUCAUUGGAAACUGGUUGACUUGAGUGCAGAAGAGGAGAGUGGAAUUCCAUGUGUAGCGGUGAAAUGCGUAGAUAUAUGGAGGAACACCAGUGGCGAAGGCGACUCUCUGGUCUGUAACUGACGCUGAGGCUCGAAAGCGUGGGUAGCAAACAG
RNAcentral lists this ribosomal RNA (410 nucleotides) under Bacteroidota bacterium. RNAcentral's name for it is "Bacteroidetes bacterium partial 16S ribosomal RNA". It matches the Rfam family "Bacterial small subunit ribosomal RNA", at positions 355 to 775 of the family's 1533-position model. The record is from RNAcentral. Lineage: Bacteria; Pseudomonadati; Bacteroidota.